GAUCAUGGCUCAGGAUGAACGCUAGCUACAGGCUUAACACAUGCAAGUCGAGGGGCAUCAGGAAGAAAGCUUGCUUUCUUUGCUGGCGACCGGCGCACGGGUGAGUAACACGUAUCCAACCUACCCUUUACUCGGGGAUAGCCUUUCGAAAGAAAGAUUAAUACCCGAUGGCAUAAUGAUUCCGCAUGGUUUCAUUAUUAAAGGAUUCCGGUAAAGGAUGGGGAUGCGUUCCAUUAGGUUGUUGGUGAGGGUAACGG
This 257-nucleotide ribosomal RNA is filed under the name uncultured bacterium. Its description in RNAcentral is "partial 16S ribosomal RNA". It matches the Rfam family "Bacterial small subunit ribosomal RNA", at positions 15 to 263 of the family's 1533-position model. The record is from RNAcentral.